UUUAAUCCCAUAAGUACUACUGUUUUCUUACGUUUAGGUUUUUGAAUAUAAUCUUCCAUUGUAAAGGAUCUGGGAGAAUUUGGGCAAGCUUUGUGGGGGUUUUCUUUACAACUAUAAUCUUCUAUUAUUAUCUUUUAAAAUUCCAUGUUUUGUUAAUUGUGUGAUUUAUUAUGAAUGAUUAUUAUACUCCUAAGAAACAUCCUCUUCCUUGCCGUUGUUAAAGUACUCCUCUGUAUUAUAUUAGGAUGAAGCUAAAAUUGUGUCAUUUCAUAUGGAAAUUUGGAAAAUUGGAAAUUUGUUUCACUAAAUUGUCAUCUUUUGCAGGAUCUACUUUUAUCAGUUCCUUUUGAUUUGCUAUGGAAGCUAUGACAAGAAGACAUUCACAUACUUCGCGUUCAGCCUUGGAUAAGAUCAUGGAUUCGUGAUACUUUUCUUUUUAUGGCAUGUCUUGCUACAGUUGGAGUUUUUGUGUUUUUGCAUCAGGAACAUACAAAAUUAUAGAGUUCAUCUUAGGGAGGUUGAGGAAUUUCGGACAACAACUUGAUUUGCCAUAAGGAAGUUGAGUCUUGAUAAAUCAAAUUUCUUCAUUUCUUUUGGCUUUUUCUAGGUAUGCAAAUUGAACUAUGAACUUAUUUUUCUGUAAUGUGGCUAGGCAAAAUAGUUUUCUUCAUA
Molecule: long non-coding RNA, 672 nt
Organism: Lathyrus oleraceus (garden pea)
Lineage: Eukaryota; Viridiplantae; Streptophyta; Magnoliopsida; Fabales; Fabaceae
Exons: 2
Source: RefSeq, a predicted model, not a curated record